This 389-nucleotide ribosomal RNA is filed under the name uncultured bacterium. RNAcentral's name for it is "bacterial SSU rRNA". It matches the Rfam family "Bacterial small subunit ribosomal RNA", at positions 28 to 417 of the family's 1533-position model. The record is from RNAcentral.
GACGAACGCUGGCGGCGUGCUUAACACAUGCAAGUCGAGCGGUAAGGCCCUUUCGGGGGUACACGAGCGGCGAACGGGUGAGUAACACGUGGGUGACCUGCCCUCAGCUCUGGGAUAAGCCUGGGAAACUGGGUCUAAUACUGGAUAUGACUCCACGGUGCAUGUCGUGGGGUGGAAAGCCUUGUGCGGCUGAGGAUGGGCCCGCGGCCUAUCAGCUUGUUGGUGGGGUGAUGGCCUACCAAGGCGACGACGGGUAGCCGGCCUGAGAGGGCGACCGGCCACACUGGGACUGAGACACGGCCCAGACUCCUACGGGAGGGCAGCAGUGGGGAAUCUUGCGCAAUGGGCGAAAGCCUGACGCAGCGACGCCGCGUGAGGGAUGACGGCCU